GAGAAAGGCAGCGACCGGGCUUCUUCCAGCAGAGCCCACGCUUUUGUAAGAGCAGCUCCACCCCCUGCUAGCUCGUGAAUUCUCAAUGCCCAGAAGAGCCCCUGCAUAUCUGUUCCCGCCGAUGUUAAUGCAACUACCUGCAGUAGUAAAUACUGCCCCAACUAAUGGGUUUUGCAGGGCUGAGAUGAGAUUCAGCGGCUCCAAGCAUUCAGCCCGCGCUCUGGCUCCGCUCUGAGCAUCCGCAAGGCCCCGAGGUCGGCACGGCUUUGCUUGAGCAAAGCAGCUCCUGGGGGUGCCGCGGCCACUUCCCCCUCCCUGCACACGCCAACAGGUGUUGACUUUGAACAAACAAAGCCAGGGCCAUACCGUUUAUGAAUUGUGUCCUAGCCUAGAGGUGCCGCAGACUUCCCAGGUGAGCACACGCUGAUCACAGCUCCAACUGCUGUCCUAACGACUGAAUUAAGAUCAAUUCACCGGGCUUUGGAUGAGGUCGGACUACUUGGUAUACAAAUCCCAUCCUUUGGCACUGCUCAGGGACGACAGGCUCUUCGGAGCGAGCACAGCAUACGGUGGGUAGGGCAGGAUGCAGGCACAGGCGGAUUGUAUCACCUCCCCGCGCUUCCGUGGGCAGAAAAGGGGCGGAAGGCAGGCAGGAACUUCAUUCAAACAUCCUGAAACUCACGGCCAUACAAACACCCUGACUUGCUUUAAAUGAUCGCUUUUGUGUGAAGAGCAAAUUGACUUUAAAGUGACUUCAAGAGAAUGAUUAAAAUUGUUCAUUGCGUCUUGGCCACCUACGUUCUCCUUGCACACAAGAGGGUUCAUUUGUUUGUUUGGGGCUGGUUUUGGCAGCUGAGCAUAACGAGAGGGCAAGCCUCUUCUUUCACAUCUCCAUCCUAUAUGCAUCACCACCUAGAGUAGUGCUCCAGAUUUAGAAAGGCAAAAGAAGACAAUAUGCAAGUUAAAUCUUAGCAUGGCAGGAAACUACUUCUCCGCAAUAACGCUACUGGCUAUUUUCUAAAAUAAGGGUUUAUAGCACAUGGCACCCAAAUAAUUUGGGAUUCUUAAACAAACAAAUGGAAUCUUGCACGAGAACUCUUCAAAAACCAACCGUGUCCAUUCGCCAUCCAGGAUGGAGAGCAGGUGGAGAAGAGAGCAGCAAGAUGGAGAAUUAAAACUUUACUAAAAAGUAAAGAAUAAAACAGCCACCCUUUGAUUUCUGUCCCAACAUUAACCCCCACCCCCUGAUCAACCAUGUUAAAAACAUCUCAAAAGCAGACAGUUGUCUGCAUGUGCUAGUUACAGACAGGCUGAACUUCUGAUUAUAAACACACGGCCUGCACUGUGUCAUUUACUAAAAUUUGGGUGGAAAUGGGGAUCAGUGGGUAUGGAGGUAGUUGGAGAUGAGGAGAUGUUACCAUCUGACAGACUGACAUCCUCAGCCUACAAUACAUAAAGUCACUCUGACGAUUUGAGUUUUGGUGUGAGGCUGGAGUCAAUAGCAGAGGCAUGCAGAUAUGACAUUGGACGUAAAAACCAA
Molecule: long non-coding RNA, 1540 nt
Organism: Egretta garzetta (little egret)
Lineage: Eukaryota; Metazoa; Chordata; Aves; Pelecaniformes; Ardeidae
Exons: 3
Source: RefSeq, a predicted model, not a curated record